AGCUGAUCAUUGGGGCUAAAGCGUGCGCAGGCGGUUUUGUAAGACAGAGGUGAAAUCCCCGGGCUCAACCUGGGAACUGCCUUUGUGACUGCAAGGCUGGAGUGCGGCAGAGGGGGAUGGAAUUCCGCGUGUAGCAGUGAAAUGCGUAGAUAUGCGGAGGAACACCGAUGGCGAAGGCAAUCCCCUGGGCCUGCACUGACGCUCAUGCACGAAAGCGUGGGGAGCAAACA
This 230-nucleotide ribosomal RNA is filed under the name uncultured Alicycliphilus sp. RNAcentral's name for it is "partial 16S ribosomal RNA". It matches the Rfam family "Bacterial small subunit ribosomal RNA", at positions 550 to 774 of the family's 1533-position model. Lineage: Bacteria; Pseudomonadati; Pseudomonadota; Betaproteobacteria; Burkholderiales; Comamonadaceae. The record is from RNAcentral.